This 257-nucleotide ribosomal RNA is filed under the name uncultured bacterium. Its description in RNAcentral is "partial 16S ribosomal RNA". It matches the Rfam family "Bacterial small subunit ribosomal RNA", at positions 524 to 776 of the family's 1533-position model. The record is from RNAcentral.
UACGGAGGGGGGCUAGCGUUGUUCGGAAUUACUGGGCGUAAAGCGCACGUAGGCGGCUUUGUAAGUUAGAGGUGAAAAGCCCAGGGCUUAACCCCUGGAAUUGCCUUUUAAGACUGCAUCGCUAGAAUCGUGGAGAGGUGAGUGGAAUUCCGAGUGUAGAGGUGAAAUUCGUAGAUAUUCGGAAGGACACCAGUGGCGAAGGCGACUCACUGGACACGUAUUGACGCUGAGGUGCGAAAGCGUGGGGAGCAAACAGG